CCUACGGGAGGCAGCAGUGAGGAAUAUUGGUCAAUGGACGAGAGUCUGAACCAGCCAAGUAGCGUGAAGGAUGACUGCCCUAUGGGUUGUAAACUUCUUUUAUAUGGGAAUAAAAUGUUCCACGUGUGGGUUUUUGUAUGUACCAUAUGAAUAAGGAUCGGCUAACUCCGUGCCAGCAGCCGCGGUAAUACGGAGGAUCCGAGCGUUAUCCGGAUUUAUUGGGUUUAAAGGGAGCGUAGGUGGAUUGUUAAGUCAGUUGUGAAAGUUUGGGGCUCAACCGUAAAAUUGCAGUUGAAACUGGCAGUCUUGAGUACAGUAGAGGUGGGCGGAAUUCGUGGUGUAGCGGUGAAAUGCUUAGAUAUCACGAAGAACUCCGAUUGCGAAGGCAGCUCACUGGACUGCAACUGACACUGAGGCUCGAAAGUGUGGGUAUCAAACAGGAUUAGAUACCCGAGUAGUC
Molecule: ribosomal RNA, 460 nt
Filed under: uncultured bacterium
Lineage: Bacteria
Description: partial 16S ribosomal RNA
Rfam family: Bacterial small subunit ribosomal RNA
Source: RNAcentral